Numida meleagris (helmeted guineafowl) is the source of this 509-nucleotide long non-coding RNA. RefSeq lists it as uncharacterized. The record is from RefSeq and is a predicted model, not a curated record. The transcript has 4 exons. Lineage: Eukaryota; Metazoa; Chordata; Aves; Galliformes; Numididae.
CAGAACGGCGGUGGGGGGAGGCGGUGAGGAGCCUUCGAGGGGAGAUGGUCCGUCCUGUCAGUCGGUGCGUCCCCAUAAAACCUGUCUCGAGGCUUCUGUGGUUCUGAGGGCUGUCCACGUGGUGAGGAACUGAAGGGCGAAUGCUUAUCCCUUUCUCAUCUUCUUCCCAAGAUACCUUCUCCUUGUGUAGAAACGUUGAGCCCAAGGAUUGGGAAUGCUGAAAUUACUAUUAAGUAUGACUUGAGAAUUCAAGUUUGGAAGAGAUCACAUGGCUGGAACAGCUAGGCAAAGAAAGCCAAGGGUGAGAGAAAUUCCCUGGCUUGUUUCCCCUGCUGUCUGUAUAUCCUCCUAGCAGCCAGAGAAGAGCGUUGCUUUGAUUUGGGAGUCCAUUACACCAUGAUAACAAGAUUGCUUCAAGGAACAUGUUCUGGUACGUACAACAUGCUUUUACCUGCACUAGCAGCACUAACAGCGGUGAGCCUAUUGCUGGGGAAGUUCAAGCAAUGAAA